Molecule: ribosomal RNA, 477 nt
Filed under: uncultured bacterium
Lineage: Bacteria
Description: partial 16S ribosomal RNA
Rfam family: Bacterial small subunit ribosomal RNA
Source: RNAcentral
GACGAACGCUGGCGGCGUGCUUAACACAUGCAAGUCGAACGGUAAGGCCCUUCGAGGUACACGAGUGGCGAACGGGUGAGUAACACGUGGGUGAUCUGCCCUGCACUUCGGGAUAAGCCUGGGAAACUGGGUCUAAUACCGGAUAGGACCCUGGGAUGCAUGUCCUGGGGUGGAAAGCUUUUGCGGUGUGGGAUGGGCCCGCGGCCUAUCAGCUUGUUGGUGGGGUGAUGGCCUACCAAGGCGACGACGGGUAGCCGGCCUGAGAGGGUGACCGGCCACACUGGGACUGAGAUACGACCCAGACUCCUACGGGAGGCAGCAGUGGGGAAUAUUGCACAAUGGGCGCAAGCCUGAUGCAGCGACGCCGCGUGAGGGAUGACGGCCUUCGGGUUGUAACCUCUUUCAGCACCGACGAAGCGCAAGUGACGGUAGGUGCAGAAGAAGGACCGGCCAACUACGUGCCAGCCGCCGCCGUAA